This 519-nucleotide ribosomal RNA is filed under the name uncultured microorganism. Its description in RNAcentral is "bacterial SSU rRNA". It matches the Rfam family "Bacterial small subunit ribosomal RNA", at positions 9 to 521 of the family's 1533-position model. The record is from RNAcentral.
GAGUUUGAUCGUGGCUCAGAUUGAACGCUGGCGGCAGGCUUAACACAUGCAAGUCGAGCGGGGGAGAUUGCUUCGGUAAUUGACCUAGCGGCGGACGGGUGAGUAAUACUUAGGAAUCUGCCUAUUAAUGGGGGACAACAUCUCGAAAGGGAUGCUAAUACCGCAUACGCCCUACGGGGAAAGCAGGGGAUCACUUGUGACCUUGCGUUAAUAGAUGAGCCUAAGUCGGAUUAGCUAGUUGGUGGGGUAAAGGCCUACCAAGGCGACGAUCUGUAGCGGGUCUGAGAGGAUGAUCCGCCACACUGGGACUGAGACACGGCCCAGACUCCUACGGGAGGCAGCAGUGGGGAAUAUUGGACAAUGGGGGGAACCCUGAUCCAGCCAUGCCGCGUGUGUGAAGAAGGCCUUAUGGUUGUAAAGCACUUUAAGCGAGGAGGAGGCUCCUGUAGUUAAUACCUACAGAGAGUGGACGUUACUCGCAGAAUAAGCACCGGCUAACUCUGUGCCAGCCGCCGCGGU